RNAcentral lists this transfer RNA (73 nucleotides) under Monodelphis domestica (gray short-tailed opossum). It matches the Rfam family "tRNA". From Rfam's summary of the family: Transfer RNA (tRNA) molecules are approximately 80 nucleotides in length. Their secondary structure includes four short double-helical elements and three loops (D, anti-codon, and T loops). Lineage: Eukaryota; Metazoa; Chordata; Mammalia; Didelphimorphia; Didelphidae. The record is from Rfam by way of RNAcentral.
ACCUGGGUAGCUCUGUUAGUAGGGUUUUACACUUCUAUUUUAAUGGUCCAAAGUUCAAGUCCUUGUUCAGGUG